AACGAACGCUGGCGGCAUGCCUAACACAUGCAAGUCGAACGCUUUCAUGGGUUUCGGCCUAUGAGGGAGUGGCGCACGGGUGAGUAGCGCGUGGGAACCUGCCCUGAAGUGGGGGAUAACCGGGGGAAACUCCGGCUAAUACCGCAUGUGCCCGGCAGCAAUGUCGGGGAAAGAUUUAUCGCUUCAGGAGGGGCCCGCGUCGGAUUAGCUAGUUGGUGGGGUAACGGCCUACCAAGGCAGUGAUCCGUAGCUGGUCUGAGAGGAUGAUCA
Molecule: ribosomal RNA, 270 nt
Filed under: uncultured bacterium
Lineage: Bacteria
Description: partial 16S ribosomal RNA
Rfam family: Bacterial small subunit ribosomal RNA
Source: RNAcentral